UGGGGAAUAUUGGACAAUGGGCGAAAGCCUGAUCCAGCCAUGCGGCGUGUGUGAAGAAGGUCUUCGGAUUGUAAAGCACUUUAAGUUGGGAGGAAGGGCAGUAAGCGAAUACCUUGCUGUUUUGACGUUACCGACAGAAUAAGCACCGGCUAACUCUGUGCCAGCAGCCGCGGUAAUACAGAGGGUGCAAGCGUUAAUCGGAAUUACUGGGCGUAAAGCGCGCGUAGGUGGUUCGUUAAGUUGAAUGUGAAAGCCCCGGGCUCAACCUGGGAACUGCAUCCAAAACUGGCGAGCUAGAGUAGGGCAGAGGGUGGUGGAAUUUCCUGUGUAGCGGUGAAAUGCGUAGAUAUAGGAAGGAACACCAGUGGCGAAGGCGACCACCUGGGCUCAUACUGACACUGAGGUGCGAAAGCGUGGGGAGCAAACAGG
RNAcentral lists this ribosomal RNA (429 nucleotides) under Pseudomonadota bacterium. RNAcentral's name for it is "Proteobacteria bacterium partial 16S ribosomal RNA". It matches the Rfam family "Bacterial small subunit ribosomal RNA", at positions 355 to 776 of the family's 1533-position model. The record is from RNAcentral. Lineage: Bacteria; Pseudomonadati; Pseudomonadota.